GACGAACACUGGCGGCAGGCUUAACACAUGCAAGUCGAGCGCCCCUUCGGGGGAGCGGCAGACGGGUUAGUAACGCGUGGGAACGUGCCCUUCGGUACGGAAUAGCCCCGGGAAACUGGGUGUAAUACCGUAUACGACCUCCGGGUGAAAGAUUUAUCGCCGAAGGAUCGGCCCGCGUUAGAUUAGCUAGAUGGUGGGGUAAAGGCUUACCAUGGCGACGAUCUAUAGCUGUUCUGAGAGGAAGAUCAGCAACACUGAGACUGAGACACGGCCCAG
This 276-nucleotide ribosomal RNA is filed under the name uncultured bacterium. RNAcentral's name for it is "partial 16S ribosomal RNA". It matches the Rfam family "Bacterial small subunit ribosomal RNA", at positions 28 to 334 of the family's 1533-position model. The record is from RNAcentral.